Molecule: unclassified non-coding RNA, 370 nt
Filed under: fungal sp.
Lineage: Eukaryota; Fungi
Description: partial internal transcribed spacer region
Rfam family: Eukaryotic small subunit ribosomal RNA (bases 1-46)
Source: RNAcentral
AAGUCGUAACAAGGUUUCCGUAGGUGAACCUGCGGAAGGAUCAUUAAAACGUAUCCAACGUUAACCAACCGUGAACUGUUUCUCCCUUGGCAUUGUGAAAUUGGAGCUUCGAUUGAAAUUGAUGGGACUUUCGGGUCUUUCUUUCGUUGCAACUGAUACUUUCGGGUAUCGACAAUAGUAACUUUGUUGAGGCUAUUCUUUCUGUUUGUGCCCUCCAUUCAAAGGCACAGCAGGGGGAGCUCUACAAUAACCUUUAUCACCCUUUUUUGCUAGUUGACUUUUUUAAUGUUAGUUUUUACGAAAGUAAAAAUUACACGUUUCAUUAUUUGAACGUAAAAUACAACUCUUAGCAAUGGAUAUCUUGGUUCUC